CAAGUCGAACGCACUCUCGUUUAGAUUGAAGGAGCUUGCUCCUGAUUGAUAAACAUUUGAGUGAGUGGCGGACGGGUGAGUAACACGUGGGUAACCUGCCCUAAAGUGGGGGAUAACAUUUGGAAACAGAUGCUAAUACCGCAUAAAACCUAACACCGCAUGGUGUAGGGUUGAAAGAUGGUUUCGGCUAUCACUUUAGGAUGGACCCGCGGUGCAUUAGUUAGUUGGUGAGGUAAAGGCUCACCAAGACCGUGAUGCAUAGCCGACCUGAGAGGGUAAUCGGCCACACUGGGACUGAGACACGGCCCAGACUCCUACGGGAGGCAGCAGUAGGGAAUCUUCCACAAUGGACGAAAGUCUGAUGGAGCAACGCCGCGUGAGUGAAGAAGGUUUUCGGAUCGUAAAACUCUGUUGUUGGAGAAGAAUGUAUCUGAUAGUAACUGAUCAGGUAGUGACGGUAUCCAACCAGAAAGCCACGGCUAACUACGUGCCAGCAGCCGCGGUAAUACGUAGGUGGCAAGCGUUGUCCGGAUUUAUUGGGCGUAAAGCGAGCGCAGGCGGUUUCUUAAGUCUGAUGUGAAAGCCUUCGGCUCAACCGAAGAAGUGCAUCGGAAACUGGGAAACUUGAGUGCAG
RNAcentral lists this ribosomal RNA (634 nucleotides) under uncultured Bacilli bacterium. RNAcentral describes it as "bacterial SSU rRNA". It matches the Rfam family "Bacterial small subunit ribosomal RNA", at positions 58 to 651 of the family's 1533-position model. Lineage: Bacteria; Bacillati; Bacillota; Bacilli. The record is from RNAcentral.